UAGAAAGUAAGCUAAUAAAGCUGUUGAGUUCAUACCUCAAACAUAACUGUAGUUCUUUCUAA
RNAcentral lists this transfer RNA (62 nucleotides) under Falcidens acutargatus. Its description in RNAcentral is "tRNA-Met". The record is from RNAcentral. Lineage: Eukaryota; Metazoa; Mollusca; Caudofoveata; Chaetodermatida; Chaetodermatidae.